UUCUCCUGCAGCAGGGACACCAUCUUCUCCUCCAGCUCCUUGCGGCGAGCCUCAGACUUCUCCAGUGCAUCUUUGACUCGCCCAAACUCCUCCUUCAUGUUGGCCAUCUCCUUCUCCGUCUCUGCGCUCUUCAGCAGCGGUUUGAUCUUGAAGUAGAGCUUCAUCCAUGGCCAAUUCUUGACCCCCAUGAAGGCCCGAAUGUUCCACUGGAUAACCAGCAGGGCAUCCCUGACCAGAAAGAGUGCAAUCAGGAAGAACUCUAGAAAGAAGUCUCCUCAGGCAUGGGACCAGUUGCCCUGGCCUCCUCUGUCUGAGCAAGUUUGUAGGCACAAAGGACAAGGGGCAUUGUAGCCUCACUCCUUAUGAUUUCAACAAAAGUAUGGUAUGCAUUCCUCUACUGGGGCAGCAAUAGUAACAGAAGCCACUGAGAGGUCUACCUGUUCAGUGUUCAUUUUUGGGAUACCUUCAAAUACAGACUAUGUAGCAUUUUACAUCUCAGAAUGCUACAAAAUAACUGCUUGGGAGCCCACCAGCUGAGCAGGAGAUGGAGCAUUCAACUACUGAGCUGCAAGUGGGCUCCUUUCCACCUUCUCUGGCCCUCAACUAGAAGCAGCCACUGCUAUUAAACUUGUUUUUAAUUUUCUUACUUAAAAAUUAUUACUAUUUUUUGGCAGGGUGUGGUAGUGUAGAUUUUUUGUGCUUGUCAGCUGUGGUUCGAGGUUAGCCUGGUCUACAUAGUAAGCUCCAAGCCUGCCCUGCCUAGAUAUGUAAUGAGACACCCAUCUCAGUUUUUCUUUUUUUAAUUUGUGCUUGUGCGUGUGUUUUAUGUAGGCACACACAUGUGAGUAUACAUGGGUACAUGUGUGCCUAGAGACCAGAGGAGGACAUGAGCUGUCUCCUUCUGGCGUUCUCUGCCUUAAGGCACUGAACCUGGGGCUUGCUGUUUCCGUUAGGCUGGUAUGCAGGGAGCUCUACUGACCCUGCUCUCUCUGCCCCACAGGGCUGGGGUUAUGGAUUGGGCAGCUACACUCAGCUUUUCAUGUGGCUGCUGGAGAAGGAGCAUAAGAGUUCAUGUUUGCACAGCAAACCCUACCUGAGCCAUUUCCUUGGUUCCUCAAUUUUUUUUACUUCUUUUUUUUAAAAAAAAAAGUGUUUUAGACAAUAUGCAAAGGUCACUUUAAACAAUGAACUUCUGUUGUCAUGAUUUCUGAGCUUCAUAGAUAAAUACUGUGUCAUACUG
RNAcentral lists this long non-coding RNA (1240 nucleotides) under Mus musculus (house mouse). RNAcentral describes it as "long non-coding RNA chr14:54953725-54954965". Lineage: Eukaryota; Metazoa; Chordata; Mammalia; Rodentia; Muridae. The record is from RNAcentral.